This 392-nucleotide ribosomal RNA is filed under the name Trebouxia decolorans. RNAcentral's name for it is "eukaryotic LSU rRNA". It matches the Rfam family "Eukaryotic large subunit ribosomal RNA", at positions 742 to 1148 of the family's 3401-position model. Lineage: Eukaryota; Viridiplantae; Chlorophyta; Trebouxiophyceae; Trebouxiales; Trebouxiaceae. The record is from RNAcentral.
GGCUUAUGCCUGCACCAUCGACCGACCAUGAUCUUCUGUGAAAGGUUUGAGUACGAGCAUACCUGUUGGGACCCGAAAGAUGGUGAACUAUGCCUGAGCAGGGCGAAGCCAGAGGAAACUCUGGUGGAGGCUCGUAGAUGUGCUGACGUGCAAAUCGCUUUUCGGACUUGGGUAUAGGGGCGAAAGACUACUAGUAGCUGGUUCCCUCCGAAGUUUCCCCCAGGAUAGCUGGAGCUUGAUCAGUUUUAUCGGGUAAAGCGAAUGAUUAGAGGUACCGGGGAUGAAACAUCCUCGACCUAUUCUCAAACUUUAAAUAGGUAAGACGUCUGGGUUGCUUAAUUGAACCCAGGCAUUCAAUGAGAGCUCCAAGUGGGCCAUUUUUGGUAAGCAGA